Humulus lupulus (European hop) is the source of this 1829-nucleotide RNA transcript. It is a transcript of the gene named inositol-tetrakisphosphate 1-kinase 1-like, with no coding region annotated. Lineage: Eukaryota; Viridiplantae; Streptophyta; Magnoliopsida; Rosales; Cannabaceae. The transcript is spliced from 3 exons. The record is from RefSeq and is a predicted model, not a curated record.
UGUUUCUUUCUCACCUUUCCUAUCCAUAUUCACCUGCUUGUAUCGAUUUCUUCGAAGCUCAACAAUGGAGUUUUGAAAACCGAUUUAGGUUUAAUUAAUUGAAAAUUUGAAUAUCGGACCUUUGAUUUCUUUGACCGUGAAUGUGUGAAUUGAUUGAUUUUAUGAGCGUUUUGGUACCAUUUUGCGGGGAUUGUCUUCGUCUUCGCUGUGUUCUUUUUUGUCUUUUUCGAAAGGGUUUGGUUAGUGUGAAUCAUCAAUGGCGGAGCGGAGGUUCGGCGUAGGCUAUGCGCUGGCGCCGAAGAAGCAGCACAGCUUCAUUCAAGAUUCGCUUGUGAGCCUUGCGAAGUCUCGCGGCGUCGAUCUUGUUCGCAUCGACGAGGACCGUCCGCUGGCAGACCAGGGACCGUUCGAUUGUGUCCUUCACAAGCUUUACGGCGUUGAUUGGCGGCGGCAGUUAGAGGAUUUUAGGGUUAUUAACCCUAAUGCGGUGAUCAUUGACUCGCCUGAGGCGAUCGAGCGGCUACAUAACCGGAUAUCGAUGUUGCAGGUGGUGUCGGAGUUGAGGAUUGAGGACCGGAGUGAGACGUUUGGGAUUCCGAAGCAGAUAGUGAUUUAUGAUAAAGAAACGUUGCUCGAUCGGCCGGCAUGGGAGGGGCUCAAGUUUCCGGUAAUCGCGAAGCCUCUUGUGGCUGACGGAAGCGCCAAGUCUCAUAAGAUGGCGCUCGUCUUUAACCACGACAGUCUCAACAAGCUGAAGCCGCCUAUUGUUUUGCAGGAGUUUGUGAACCAUGGUGGGGUGAUUUUUAAGGUAUAUGUGGUUGGGGAGUAUGUUAAAUGCGUGAAGAGGAAGUCGCUGCCAGACGUGUCGGAGGAGGAGAAAGUGGGUAGCUUGGAGGGCUUGUUGUCUUUCUCGCAGGUGUCGAAUCUCGCUACCAACGAGAGAACUGACGAUAAGUACUAUAAGAAGAUGCAUUUGGACGAAACCGAGAUGCCGCCUCAGAGCUUGCUUAUCGAAAUUGCAAGGGGCUUACGGCGGGCUAUGAAAUUGCAUCUGUUCAACUUCGACGUUAUUCGGGAUGCCAGGUUUGGAAACCGGUACCUUAUAAUUGACAUCAAUUAUUUUCCUGGGUAUGCAAAAAUGCCAGGCUAUGAGAGAGUAAUGACGGAUUUCUUUUGCGACAUAAUGCACAAGAAAGAGAGAGAGGCAGAAAAGGUUAUGGCGGAGAAAGAUGAGAAUGGCGUUGAUGACCAUAGCUGUGAAAAAGAAGUGAGAAAACUUCUAAGCAAUACUUGCAGCAGUGAUGGUGAAGAUGGAGUUCUACCAGUUUCCCCUAUUGGCAGAGAAGAGGAGAAACCAAUUCAAGUAUGAAUCAGGAAAUGAGGGUACGUGAUAUGAGUGGAACUUGUUUUUCAUAUGUUGAAACAGUGCUGAAUGAGUAGGCUACAGUUUAACCUGUUGAGACAGCAUUGGUUGGUGCGCAGUGGUGAUAAUGUAAAUUCCAGCCACCGUUCCUAUGGAGAUAGGGUUUGGCUACUAUGAGGCAGGUCUUAUGUUUUCUAUAUGAAUACAUUUCUUUGAUCGUUGGAAAGUGAUUGUUUGUCGAUGUGAUUAUUGAUCUGAAGAAAGGAUUUCUUUGAACUGGCGUGUCUCAUGCAAGUUGAGAAUGGAAAUACACCAAAUAUUUUGUCCUUCAUUUCUUUAUUAUUCCUCAUGAAGGUAUAUUUCAAUUUGAGGACAUGAAGUUAUUUUGUUUCUUCCUUGCUACAUAUGGCUCUGGUAUACAUGAUUAUAACUUUUUCGAUUUAAUGAAUUUAUCUGUUUUGUCGUA